AGUACGUGAUAAGUGAAGAGCGAUCAUCAUACAGGGUGAUGAUGAAGCUGACCAUCAGACACUUUUCAAGAAGUGACAUCGGUACUUACAACUGUGUGAGCACCAACUCGCUCGGUAAGAGUGAGGGCACGCUCAGACUUUAUGAAAUAAAACUAUACCCCAGUUCCCAAUCGGCUGCUGAAGUUAACAUAGGCGGUCUGACAGAAGGAGCAGUGAAACAAAAAACUGCAUUCAAUAAUUCAGUCAAUUUGUUAUCAAGGACGGUAAAUGUAAUAGUGAUGUUGUUAUUAUUAAUAAUAAUUAUAUAUUAGGAGCUUAUUGUUGUAA
Molecule: long non-coding RNA, 327 nt
Organism: Helicoverpa armigera (cotton bollworm)
Lineage: Eukaryota; Metazoa; Arthropoda; Insecta; Lepidoptera; Noctuidae
Exons: 3
Source: RefSeq, a predicted model, not a curated record